RNAcentral lists this ribosomal RNA (253 nucleotides) under uncultured bacterium. RNAcentral describes it as "partial 16S ribosomal RNA". It matches the Rfam family "Bacterial small subunit ribosomal RNA", at positions 524 to 776 of the family's 1533-position model. The record is from RNAcentral.
UACGGAGGGUGCAAGCGUUAUCCGGAUUUACUGGGUUUAAAGGGUGUGUAGGCGGGCUUUUAAGUCAGUGGUGAAAUCUCCGGGCUCAACCUGGAAACUGCCAUUGAUACUAUUAGUCUUGAAUUUUGUUGAGGUAGGCGGAAUAAGUCAUGUAGCGGUGAAAUGCAUAGAUAUGACUUAGAACACCAAUUGCGAAGGCAGCUUGCUAAACAAAUAUUGACGCUGAGGCACGAAAGCGUGGGGAUCAGACAGG